GUAGGUGGCAAGCGUUGUCCGGAAUUAUUGGGCGUAAAGCGCGCGCAGGCGGUUCUUUAAGUCUGAUGUGAAAGCCCACGGGCUCAACCGUGGAGGGUCAUUGGAAACUGGAGAACUUGAGUACAGAAGAGGAAAGCGGAAUUCCACGUGUAGCGGUGAAAUGCGUAGAGAUGUAGAGGAACACCAGUGGCGAAGGCGGCUUUCUGGUCUGUAACUGACGCUGAGGCGCGAAAGCGUGGGGAGCAAACAGGAUUAGAUACCCUGGUAGUCCACGCCGUAAACGAUGAGUGCUAAGUGUUAGGGGGUUUCCGCCCCUUAGUGCUGCAGCUAACGCAUUAAGCACUCCGCCUGGGGAGUACGGCCGCAAGGCUG
Molecule: ribosomal RNA, 372 nt
Filed under: uncultured organism
Description: partial 16S ribosomal RNA
Rfam family: Bacterial small subunit ribosomal RNA
Source: RNAcentral